GGAGAUCAGCUCCAAGGGGACCUGAAAAAACCAAGAACAAAACAGGCGCCAGCUCUGACACUCCUCCAGUUACAGACCCCUACACCGAGUUCAUUUAAGAGAAAGGGAGGCCAUAAAACAGAGGACAGAAAGAGAGUGAUUGUGCACGGUGCAGAGAUGCAGCUUUAACUCUAUCACCAUACCAACACAGCUGUGUUUGGUGGGAGUUACUGUAUAUAGCUGUUAGAGAAACUGCCAAACUGCCAAAUGAAUUGAGUCUUCGUUCACUAAGGCUGGAGGGGGAGACACACAGAGGGACAGAAAGAAGAAAUGCAGCCAUCUCCAGUUCCAAUUGAUCUCUGCCAACAUUUCUGCAUAAACACAGGCCACGGGGCCAUUUUGCAAGUUUCAA
Long non-coding RNA from Thunnus maccoyii (southern bluefin tuna), 391 nucleotides. RefSeq lists it as uncharacterized. NCBI's taxonomy places the organism in Eukaryota, Metazoa, Chordata, Actinopteri, Scombriformes, Scombridae. The transcript has 2 exons. The record is from RefSeq and is a predicted model, not a curated record.